RNAcentral lists this ribosomal RNA (423 nucleotides) under uncultured archaeon. RNAcentral describes it as "partial 16S ribosomal RNA". It matches the Rfam family "Archaeal small subunit ribosomal RNA", at positions 323 to 746 of the family's 1478-position model. The record is from RNAcentral.
CUACGGGAGGCAGCAGGCGCGAAACCUUUACAAUGCACGAAAGUGCGAUAAGGGGAUCCCAAGUGCUUAUACUUUGUAUAGGCUUUUGCCAAGUGUAAAUAACUUGGCGAAUAAGUGGUGGGCGAAGACUGGUGCCAGCCGCCGCGGUAAUCCCAGCGCCACGAGUAGCAACCAUAUUUAUUGGGCCUAAAGCGUCCGUAGCAGGUUUUGUAAAUCUCCUGUGAAAUCGUUGUGCUCAACAUAACGACGUGCAAGAGACACUGCAAGACUAGAGACCGGGAGGCGUCGAGGGUAUUCCAGGGGGAGCGGUAAAAUGUUAUAAUCCCUGGAGGACCACCUGUGGCGAAGGCGCUCGACGAGAACGGAUCUGACUGUGAGGGACGAAAGCCAGGGGAGCAAUCCGGAUUAGAUACCCGCGUAGUC